RNAcentral lists this long non-coding RNA (664 nucleotides) under Phascolarctos cinereus (koala). RNAcentral describes it as "lncRNA (ENSPCIG00000009679.2)". Lineage: Eukaryota; Metazoa; Chordata; Mammalia; Diprotodontia; Phascolarctidae. The record is from RNAcentral.
CUGGAUCCCCCGGGAGAAGCCCGCAAGCCACAAGCUUCAUUCCAACCUGCUUCUGAAUAUAUAAAAUAUUGGUCCGUGGUGGGGCCACCUUAUUCUCUGUCCUCACACCAGAAUCUGAAGAAAGAAUCUGAGCCCAAAGUCUGAGGACACGCUGCAGAGGAUCAUGAAAGCCCUCAUCAUCAUCGCUGUCAUCGCCAUGACACUUGGCUCCCUGGCCUCUCAGGACCAGGAACGAGAAAAGCGAAGUGUGAGUUCCUCUUACUCUUGCCAUAUUGCCUCUGCUAAAGCAUCUGAAAAUGCCAUAGAGAGAAGCAUGUCCAGCGGACUUUCUUUUCUGAAAAGUGUUGCUGUUGGGCAUUUAGUUGUGUCUGACUCUUCGUGACCCCGCCGACUGCAGCCCGCCAGGCCCUUCCACCCUGCACUCUCUCCUGAAGUCUGUCCCCACUCACACUCCUUGUUUCCGUGGCACCACCUCUCCAUCUCACACUCUGCCCUCCCCUUUCCCUUUUGCCUUCACUCUUUCCCAACCUCGGGGUCUUUUCCAAUGAGUCCCAUCUUCUCAUUAUGUGGCAGUUCUCUAAUGUAAGAAGCAAUCAGCAGGGAGUUUGGAAGAUAAUGAGAUAAUUAAUGUUAAAUUAAGCCGAGGAAGAUGAGCAAAAAAGAU